Molecule: small nuclear RNA, 100 nt
Filed under: Tupaia belangeri (northern tree shrew)
Lineage: Eukaryota; Metazoa; Chordata; Mammalia; Scandentia; Tupaiidae
Source: RNAcentral
GUGCUCGCUUCGGCAGCACAUAUACUAAAAUUGGAACGAUACAGAGGAGAUAGCGUGCUCCUGUGCAGGAUGACAUGUGAAUCGUGAGCAUCAUAUUUUU